AGCGAACGCUGGCGGCAGGCUUAACACAUGCAAGUCGAACGCCCCGCAAGGGGAGUGGCAGACGGGUGGGUAACACGUGGGAACGUACCCUCUGGUUCUGAAUAACUUGGGGAAAUUCAAGCUAAUACCGGAUAAGCCCUUAUGCGGAACGGUUUACUGCCGAAGGAUCGGCCCGCGGCUGAUUAGCUAGUUGGUGAGGUAAUGGCUCACCAAGGCGACGAUCAGUAGCUGGUCUGAGAGGAUGAUCAGCCACACUGGGACUGAGACACGGCCCAGACUCCUACGGGAGGCAGCAGUGGGGAAUAUUGCGCAAUGGGCGAAAGCCUGACGCAGCCAUGCCGCGUGAAUGAUGAAGGUCUUAGGAUUGUAAAAUUCUUUUACCAGGGACGAUAAUGACGGUACCUGGAGAAAAAGCCCCGGCUAACUUCGUGCCAGCCGCCGCCGUAA
RNAcentral lists this ribosomal RNA (447 nucleotides) under uncultured bacterium. Its description in RNAcentral is "partial 16S ribosomal RNA". It matches the Rfam family "Bacterial small subunit ribosomal RNA", at positions 29 to 523 of the family's 1533-position model. The record is from RNAcentral.